Molecule: small RNA, 71 nt
Filed under: Salmonella enterica
Lineage: Bacteria; Pseudomonadati; Pseudomonadota; Gammaproteobacteria; Enterobacterales; Enterobacteriaceae
Also listed under: 1 other name
Description: partial RtT sRNA
Rfam family: RtT RNA
About the family: This family represents a bacterial cis-regulatory element known as RtT RNA. The exact function of RtT is unknown although it is thought that it may be involved in changing the cellular response in relation to amino acid starvation.
Source: RNAcentral
UGAAGGAUAAUGUUGCUUUAGCAACGGCCCGAAGGGCGAGGCAAAGCCGAGUCAUCCUGCACGACCCACCA